This 407-nucleotide ribosomal RNA is filed under the name uncultured bacterium. RNAcentral describes it as "partial 16S ribosomal RNA". It matches the Rfam family "Bacterial small subunit ribosomal RNA", at positions 30 to 526 of the family's 1533-position model. The record is from RNAcentral.
AUUGAACGCUGGCGGCAGGCCUAACACAUGCAAGUCGAGCGGAGCGGCGGACGGGAGCGUAAUGCUUAGGAAUCUGCCUGGUAGUGGGGGAUAACGUCCGGAAACGGGCGCUAAUACCGCAUACUAUCAGAUGAGCCUAGGUCGGAUUGGCUAGUUGGUGGGGUAAAGGCCUACCAAGGCGACGAUCCGUAACUGGUCUGAGAGGAUGAUGGGUCACACUGGAACUGAGACCAGGUCCAGACUCCUACGGAAGGCAGCGGUGGGGAAUAUUGGAAAAUGGGCGAAAGCCUGAGCCAGACAUGCCGGGUGUGUGAGGAAGGUCUUCGGAUUUAAAAGCACUUUAAGUUGGGAGGCGUUACCAACAGAAUAAGCACCGGCUAACUUCGUGCCAGCAGCCGCGGUAAUUC